UAUGUCGUGCACUGUCAUUUGUCUUGCAGGUUCUUAUGACCAGAACACUCUUAGGGGGGCCCCGUGGCAAGUGCAGUCACAAGGCGCUAACGCUGACAAAUGUACGGGCAGCCAACUCCAACUAGCUAGUAUGGCUAAUCAAGAGCCUUCGUGCAGCACGUGGAAUCGGGCAGCACCCAUGUACCUGCCAUCGACGUCGUACACAGGUUAUUACGCUGGCGGUGA
Non-coding RNA from Triticum urartu, 225 nucleotides. NCBI's taxonomy places the organism in Eukaryota, Viridiplantae, Streptophyta, Magnoliopsida, Poales, Poaceae. The record is from RefSeq and is a predicted model, not a curated record.